AUGACUAACUCAAUACAAGCCUCAAGUACUAGUCCAGUUUGGAGGACCGUUUGGAAAUUGAAUGUGCCAUCAAAAGUAAAAAUCCACGUGUGGAAAACUUUACUCGGAGCGAUCCCAUGUCAAGGAGUUCUUGCAAAUAGACACAUAAUAACUAGUUCUCAAUGCCCUUUGUGUAACUCAGAUUGUGAGAGCAUUCGACAUGCUCUCUUCCUAUACCCGCGUGUUCAACAAGUUUGGCGCCUGCUUGGUUUGGCAUCAGUGGUUAACGAGGUUUGCAUGAUGGAAAGGGAGGGCGGCUCAGUUAUGGCUGAUCUGCUUAUGUCCAAGAACCCAACGAAGGCGUUGGUCUGUGAUGUCCAGCGCAAUGACCUUGUUACCACAGCGGUGUGGUAUUUAUGGUGGGAGCGACAUAGCUUUACCCAUGGUGAGCAACUAUAUGAACCCACUAGAUCGGCGCAAGCAAUUUCAGCACUUGCGAAAAAUUUCUCAAGAGCAAAUUCAAAGAAGGGCAGAAUAAAAAGACAUGGCUGGCAGCAGCCAUUGGAGGGCAUGCUUAAACUGAAUUUUGAUGCUGGUUUUGAUAGUGACAGCGGCACCGGGGCGACAGGUGCGAUUCUACGGGACCAUACGGGCUUCUUUGUGGCAGCAUGAUAUAGCAAUAUUCCAUUCGUACAAGAUGCGGCAACGGCAGAAGCACGGGGAUUACGAGAUGGACUCCUCCUUGCCAAUGAAAUGGGAUGUAACAAAAUUUGCGUAGAAGGUGAUUUUUUGCGGGUAAGUUAUUGA
Molecule: ribosomal RNA, 786 nt
Filed under: Triticum aestivum (bread wheat)
Lineage: Eukaryota; Viridiplantae; Streptophyta; Magnoliopsida; Poales; Poaceae
Description: partial small subunit ribosomal RNA
Source: RNAcentral